AGUGAACGCUGGCGGUAGGCCUAACACAUGCAAGUCGAACGGCAGCACAGGAGAGCUUGCUCUCUGGGUGGCGAGUGGCGGACGGGUGAGGAAUACAUCGGAAUCUACUCUGUCGUGGGGGAUAACGUAGGGAAACUUACGCUAAUACCGCAUACGACCUACGGGUGAAAGCAGGGGAUCUUCGGACCUUGCGCGAUUGAAUGAGCCGAUGUCGGAUUAGCUAGUUGGCGGGGUAAAGGCCCACCAAGGCGACGAUCCGUAGCUGGUCUGAGAGGAUGAUCAGCCGCACUGGAACUGAGACACGGUCCAGACUCCUACGGGAGGCAGCAGUGGGGAAUAUUGGACAAUGGGCGCAAGCCUGAUCCAGCCAUACCUCGUGGGUGAAGAAGGCCUUCGGGUUGUAAAGCCCUUUUGUUGGGAAAGAAAUCCAGCUGGCUAAUACCCGGUUGGGAUGACGGUACCCAAAGAAUAAGCACCGGCUAACUUCGUGCCAGCAGCCGCGGUAA
RNAcentral lists this ribosomal RNA (506 nucleotides) under uncultured bacterium. RNAcentral's name for it is "partial 16S ribosomal RNA". It matches the Rfam family "Bacterial small subunit ribosomal RNA", at positions 29 to 523 of the family's 1533-position model. The record is from RNAcentral.